GGGAAAGGAAAAAAUAUGACCAACAAAAACAAUUUCUUCUAGAGAGGAGGAGAUAAUGCUCUCCACUCUCAGUAAUCUUUUUCUCUCUUAGUUUACCCUCUAGGGUAUCACUUUGGCCCUAGGAUUAGGAGGCUACUAUGAUGGUUUGAUCUUCGUGUAUUGGCAUAAGGCACGUAGGCAAUCUAAUGGGGUUAGAUGCCAUGCUCUCCUUUGUGGUUCGUGCAAGGGUUCGUAGGAAUGAGGUGGCUAUUCAGAAUUCGUUUAAUUUUCAAGAAAAAAGUGUUCAAAAUGUUGGCGGUGUAAAGAAUCAAGAUCCUGAAGAGGUACGUGAUGCUUUUCGUGUUGAAAUCAAUUCCUAUUUUUAUUCCCUGCAUAUUUACUUAUAAAUCUAGUGAAUGUGACCGUAAUUUCUCAUAGUAUUAGUUUCUGUUCUUCGCAUAUUUACUUUAUAAAUUUCUCUUUUUCGUUCUACAUAAUUCCAGAGGUUUCUCGUUCAUAAUCGAUCACUUCACUCACUGACGUUUUCUCAGAUUUUAAUUUUAUAUGAUGUUAAUUGUUUGAUUGAAAUAUAGAUGGCUUCAGCCCAACCCGUAGUCCAACCUUCAUCCCAACCCCAAUUCCAACUUCGUCAUGUCUCGAUAGCUUCAAAUAUGUCGACGCCUGUCAUGGCAAAUUGAUGGAAGUAAAGGAGGCCGGAGGAUUCGACAGUCUGGAGACCAUACAAAUUAGUCAAGCUCUAACAUGAUUUAAGUCCGGACGAUCAGGCCUCCUUUGCCCUCGAUAUCUUCCUCCCCUACUCGUUAGAAGCCUUUCUCUUCAAGAGACAAAGGAGGCCUGAUCGCCUGGACUCGAAUCCUGUUAGAGAUUGGCUAGUUUGUAUGGUCUCCAGAUUGUCCAAUCCUCCGGCCUCCUUUACUUCCGUCAAUUUACCGUGACAGGCGUCGACAGAUUUGAGGUUAUCGAGACACAACAAAGUUGGAAUUGGGGUUAGGAUGAAGGUUGGACUACGGGUUGGGCUGAAGCCAUCUAUAUUUCAAUCAAACAAUUAACAUCAUAUAAAAUUAAAAUCUGAGAAAACGUCAGUGAGUGAAGUGAUCGAUUAUGAACGAGAAACCUUUGGAAUUAUGUAGAACGAAAAAGAGAAAUUCAUAAAGUAAAUAUGUGAAGAACAGAAACUAAUUACAGUCACAUUCACUAGAUUUAUAAGCAAAUAUGCAGAGAAGAAAAAUAGGAAUUGAUAAAAACUAGGUGGGUUUAUUUUGCACCAAAGAUGUAGGGACAUCCCACUAACACCAAGAUAAAGACUAAAGAUGGAGGCGGUGGUCCAUGUCCUUGACCCGCACCAGCAGCAUAACCCCCAGCAGAACGUCUCUGCCUGAACGACCUCCGCAGCUGCCGCCAAAAAUCCGCGACCCGUGAAACGAUGGUAUUUGGACAGGGCAUUGGUGCUUCUUUGGAUCAUUACUGUUAUGCUGGACAUAUGGUGAACUUUUACAAGGAACGAAACUUCUCGCAAUGGUGUGUUUUCGUGGACACCUAGUCGCUAACCCUGGCAGAUUAAGGUCACUGAAUUCAACAACUUACAUUUCAAAGUAUGGAUGAUGAUAAAGUAGUCGGCAAUAAAUGACAAAGUUGUGAUCGAGCAUUUUGUAGUUAUCAUGACAAAGAUUAGAGGAUGAUAAUCUAAUGAACAGUUUGUGUUUGCUUCUCUUAUUUUGUUUUCACCCCAAGAUUCUGACCAGAAAAGUUAAAGAAAAACUUCCUUUAAUUCGACAUGGAAUUGUUGAAAGGUGAAUUUGAAUGAGGAAUUCAGAAUACAGAUUAACGUGUAAUAAGGUUGUUCGAACAGCCCUUAAAUCU
Molecule: non-coding RNA, 1860 nt
Organism: Malus domestica (apple)
Lineage: Eukaryota; Viridiplantae; Streptophyta; Magnoliopsida; Rosales; Rosaceae
Source: RefSeq, a predicted model, not a curated record